Molecule: ribosomal RNA, 254 nt
Filed under: uncultured bacterium
Lineage: Bacteria
Description: partial 16S ribosomal RNA
Rfam family: Bacterial small subunit ribosomal RNA
Source: RNAcentral
UACGAAGGGGGCGAGCGUUGUUCGGAAUUACUGGGCGUAAAGCGCGCGUAGGCGGGCUGUUAAGUGAGAGGUGAAAGGCUGGGGCUCAACCCCAUGCAGUGCCUCUCAUACUGGCGGUCUUGAGUGCGGCAGGGAGAAGUGGAAUGGCUGGUGUAGCGGUGAAAUGCGUAGAUAUCAGUCGGAACACCAGUGGCGAAGGCGGCGAUCUGGGUCGAUACUGACGCUGAGGUGCGAAAGCGUGGGGAGCAAACAGG